Long non-coding RNA from Paramormyrops kingsleyae, 537 nucleotides. RefSeq lists it as uncharacterized. The record is from RefSeq and is a predicted model, not a curated record. Lineage: Eukaryota; Metazoa; Chordata; Actinopteri; Osteoglossiformes; Mormyridae.
AGCCGCAAAGGCGAACCCGGGGUAAACAGGCCGAACGCGCUGGGUAACAGCCGGGGGCUGCAUUCUCGGGCCGUCCCAGAGCCCUGGGAAUCUCCUGGCAUCUCGAGUACAGCUGCUUUUAGGUUCCGACACCAGCGUGGCUCAGGUGUGCCAGCGUGUGCCACAGGGACGCAGAGGACGUUUUAUCUCCAGGCCUGUCCCAGGGCUGCUCAGUAGAGCGUCCUCUCAUGUACGACAGGCAAAAAAGAUUCAUCUUCACCCAAACAAGUUUUGUAGCAGCCCGAGAUGCUCCUCCUCCCUGUGGACGAGGCUUGUUCUUCUGAACACUUUGUUAUCUCCCUUGAAUCCAUAUCUACUACAAGGCCAUGUUCAGACUGUCGAUUACCUCUGUGGGGUGACAUGAAAGGUAUUAAGGGCAAGAAAGCCACUAAUUUAUGGACCAACAUGUAUGUUUAUGGAUUUCUCCCGGAAUCCAUUUUAACGAUUUCUGCGUAGGCCUGGUCUUCAUAAAUCAACAUCCAUAAUCACAAUUCUGUU